GAAAUGCGAUAAGUAAUGUGAAUUGCAGAAUUCAGUGAAUCAUCGAAUCUUUGAACGCAACUUGCGCCCUUUGGUAUUCCGAAGGGCAUGCCCGUUUGAGUGUCAUGGUAUUCUCAAAGCCCUCUUCAUUUUUUNNNGAUGUUGGUGCUUUGGAUUUGGAAGUCUCUUUGCAGGUUUAGUAAUAAAUCUGCUCCUCUUGAAUGUAUUAGCUGGAAAUCUUUGCUCAGAUCUAGCUUCAGUGUGAUAAUUGUCUACGCUGUAGCUGUCUAAGCACAUGUAUGGAAUUCCGCUUCUAGUUGUCUUUUACGACAGAUUGUAAUGAUCUUUUGACAUCUGACCUCAAAUCGGGUAGGACUACCCGCUGAACUUAA
This 371-nucleotide ribosomal RNA is filed under the name Tyromyces sp. 236-570. RNAcentral's name for it is "eukaryotic LSU rRNA". The stretch from base 1 to 105 matches the Rfam family "5.8S ribosomal RNA", at positions 50 to 154 of the family's 154-position model. Lineage: Eukaryota; Fungi; Basidiomycota; Agaricomycetes; Polyporales; Incrustoporiaceae. The record is from RNAcentral.